This 331-nucleotide ribosomal RNA is filed under the name uncultured bacterium. RNAcentral describes it as "bacterial SSU rRNA". It matches the Rfam family "Bacterial small subunit ribosomal RNA", at positions 28 to 337 of the family's 1533-position model. The record is from RNAcentral.
GAUGAACGCUGGCGGCGUGCUUAAUACAUGCAAGUCGAACGAAUGGAUGUCUAGCUUGCUAGACUGAAGUUAGUGGCGAACGGGUGAGUAAUACAUAGGCAAUCUGCCCUGAAGGUGUGGGAUAGCUAAUUUGGAAACGAUAAAUUAAUACCGCAUAGGUAGUAGGUAAGGCAUCUUCCUACUAUUAAAGAUUGCGUACUGUCAUCGCUGCAGGAUGAGCUUAUGGUGUAUUAGCUAGGUUGGUGAGAUAAAAGCCCACCAAGGCUAUGAUACAUAGCUUGGUCCUGAGAGGAUGAACAGCCACACUUGGGACUGAGACACGGCCCAGACU